RNAcentral lists this ribosomal RNA (385 nucleotides) under uncultured bacterium. RNAcentral's name for it is "bacterial SSU rRNA". It matches the Rfam family "Bacterial small subunit ribosomal RNA", at positions 32 to 396 of the family's 1533-position model. The record is from RNAcentral.
AAUCAACGCUGGCGGCGUGCCUCAGACAUGCAAGUCGAACGCGAAAGUUCCCUUCGGGGGGCGAGUAGAGUGGCGCACGGGUGAGUAACACGUAGGUAAUCUACCUUUGGGUGGGGAAUAACAGCCGGAAACGGCUGCUAAUACCGCAUAAUGCAGCGGCUCGACAUCGAGACAGUUGUUAAAGCGGGGGAUCGCAAGACCUCGCGCCUAAAGAGGAGCCUGCGGCGGAUUAGCUUGUUGGUGAGGUAAUGGCUCACCAAGGCAUCGAUCCGUAGCCGGCCUGAGAGGGCGGUCGGCCACACUGACACUGACAUACGGGUCAGACUCCUACGGGAGGCAGCAGUCGGGAAUUUUGGGCAAUGGGCGCAAGCCUGACCCAGCAACG